UGCGUAGGCGGACUAAUAAGUCAGUGGUAAAAUCUUUCGGCUCAACCGAGAAACUGCCAUUGAUACUGUUAGUCUUGAGUUCGGUUGAGGUAGGCGGAAUGUGUAAUGUAGCGGUGAAAUGCUUAGAUAUUACACAGAACACCAAUUGCGUAGGCAGCUUACUAGACCGACACUGACGCUGAGGCACGAAAGCGUGGGGAGCGAACAGGAUUAGAUACCCUGGUAGUCC
RNAcentral lists this ribosomal RNA (229 nucleotides) under uncultured bacterium. RNAcentral describes it as "partial 16S ribosomal RNA". It matches the Rfam family "Bacterial small subunit ribosomal RNA", at positions 568 to 796 of the family's 1533-position model. The record is from RNAcentral.